This 87-nucleotide microRNA precursor is filed under the name Myotis lucifugus (little brown bat). RNAcentral describes it as "miRNA (ENSMLUG00000023654.1)". Lineage: Eukaryota; Metazoa; Chordata; Mammalia; Chiroptera; Vespertilionidae. The record is from RNAcentral.
AUUACCUCGGUGCCUUGUUAAAGGAUUCUGACUCGGGUCUGGGAUGGGGCCUGAGAUUCUGCAUUUCUCACAAGAUCCAGGAGAUGC